Long non-coding RNA from Rhea pennata, 1893 nucleotides. RefSeq lists it as uncharacterized. Lineage: Eukaryota; Metazoa; Chordata; Aves; Rheiformes; Rheidae. The record is from RefSeq and is a predicted model, not a curated record. The transcript has 3 exons.
GAGGAGGAACUAUGAAAGUUUGUACCAAUUAAGGAUUUGCCUGACACCUCUUAUGGUGUGAAUGUUCUUCAUUCUGAAGAUGGCAAAAGAUCAGCUCAGAGAUGUGUGAGCUCAAGUCAGAAAACUCUACCCUCAAUGCAUGCAACUGUAAAAACUAUCAGACAAAAAAAGUUUUUAUGUUCUGUGUAUUGAUUGUUAUUUCUGUCUAAUCCAGGAGUUCAAAAAAGGGUGAAAUCCUUGAAAACAGUCUUGCAGUGAAGAAUUCAUUAUCUCAGUAGUUGAGAGUUUUUUGGUCCUUUCUUCAACAGAAGAAGAUCAGGUCAGAAAGUGAUGGGAGGGUGAAAACAAGAACUUUCUCUUUCUCUGCUAAAAUACUACUGAAGGUUAUUAAAGACCUCAGCAAUGAAACUUCUUCUGAAAAAAGAGAAUAGAGCUUCAAAAGGAAAUGAAAUACCUGAUUCCUAUUCUGAGCAAUGCAGGCAGGAAGACAAAAAGAUUGCCUUUCAUCUUAAAUCACUUGAAUCGCCGCAGAGAGCACAUCUCCUGUGCCUUUUCAUUCCUACAGAGUCUUUCCUAAGUUUGUGCAGCACCAACACAGCAAGGCCCUGGUCCAUGACUACUAGCUUCGGGCACUGCCGCAGUACGGAUAAUACACAGCAGUAACUUGCUGUGACAAAGCAGAUCCACGCUGUAUCAGUGAUACCCUGAGAAACGCAGGCGAGGUUUCAAAGCAGGAAUCAGAGCUGGCACGUGGCCAGGCUGCUGGAGCCGUGCGCUGCCUGCUGUGCAGCUCGCUGUUGCUCUCGGAGGGGAGCCGGUGGCACGUACUGAACGUGCGCUCGUGAGGCUGUUCGACCAGCCACUUCUGCCCUGCUUGUGCAAGCGGACAGGAUACUUCACACAUAAAGCUGUCGUCUGUUUGUUGACUGCAUUGUCGUAAGAAGUUUCUUUUCAGCAGCAAAGUUCACCGGUUCAGGACUAUAAACGCUGGAACCUAGCCAUGAUAAACUGGGCUCUCCACGAGAAAGAUAUUUCAAUAAAAAGCAAUCCAAAAUAUCUUCAGGCCUAGAAAUAAAACACAUUUUAUGUUCAAGCAAGCCUCUCUCACAAGUCUCUGUGCAUCGUGUCCAGGUAACUGUGGCUCCUCGCUCAAAGCCUGGUGUGGAGGAGGACGUUUGCUGAGUCCAGUGAGGGUCGUGAGUCCUCGUGACCACCCUCAAGCUGGCUCCUCACAGCACAGCUGGCUCCGUCCCCGCUGGCAAAUGUGACCGAAAACUCCUAGCGUGGGCGGUAGAAAAGGGUGGAGCUGUCGGUCUCCCCAGCCCAGCCGCGUUUCUGUGCCGUAGUACGACUGCUGCCUGGACGUGGGCGCCGUGGGAGGGCGGGUGCUGCAGGUUGCUCCCGCACAUCGUACCAGGCUGCAAAUCCAAGCAGCUGGACAGAGUUUGCUAAGGAAAGAUUUUACAUUGUGUUGCUUAGAGGUAAAUGUUCAAGCAACAGUUAAAAUGGCCUAACAGCUCGUCCAUUAGAAAACAGAGUUUUUUUCCACAGUUACUUCCCAGUCUUGGAUAUUCAGUCCUACUCACUGCAGAGAUCCAAAACUGGCAGAAAAGGUCUCUUAAGUAUUAGGCUGCCCUGUGUCCUUGGCACUAAAUUCAGAUAAUUUUGAGAACAGUUCAGAUCUUCUGGAGGGCUUUAUUUUGUAUUUCUUUCCAUAAGAAAGCAGUUCUAUUUUUAGGACUUGGCCCAAACUGUUGAACCCAGUGGUUUGAGUUUUACUGUUGUUGUUUUUCCUCUCUUCAAUCAAAAUGAAGUGGUUCUGGCUGAUCUAAGCUGAGCAGUAGUGCUAGUUCUCUUAAAGUUAUACUCAAGGAGGUUUUGUAAGUGUAUCUG